Molecule: long non-coding RNA, 206 nt
Organism: Mizuhopecten yessoensis (Yesso scallop)
Lineage: Eukaryota; Metazoa; Mollusca; Bivalvia; Pectinida; Pectinidae
Exons: 3
Source: RefSeq, a predicted model, not a curated record
UGGUCAGGACACCAGUAUAAUCAGGAGAUGUUUGGCAGCAGGCCUCUUCAUGAAUGCUGCAGAACUGCAAAGGGAAGGAGAUGUGUACAUUUCAUUAACAACACGAGAGCCAGUUCAUAUUCAUCCAUCAUCAGCAUUGUUUAGAUGUAAACCUGCUUGUGUUGUUUACAACGAGCUCGUCAAAACAUCAAAGUGUUACAUGAGGU